UACGGGGGGGGCAAGCGUUGUUCGGAAUUACUGGGCGUAAAGGGCGCGUAGGCGGCCUUCUAAGUCGGACGUGAAAUCCCUCGGCUUAACCGAGGAACUGCGUCUGAUACUGGAAGGCUUGAAUCCGGGAGAGGGAUGUGGAAUUCCAGGUGUAGCGGUGAAAUGCGUAGAUAUCUGGAGGAACACCGGUGGCGAAGGCGGCAUCCUGGACCGAUAUUGACGCUGAGGCGCGAAAGCCAGGGGAGCAAACGGG
RNAcentral lists this ribosomal RNA (253 nucleotides) under uncultured bacterium. RNAcentral's name for it is "partial 16S ribosomal RNA". It matches the Rfam family "Bacterial small subunit ribosomal RNA", at positions 524 to 776 of the family's 1533-position model. The record is from RNAcentral.